RNAcentral lists this ribosomal RNA (315 nucleotides) under Methanolinea sp. RNAcentral describes it as "bacterial SSU rRNA". It matches the Rfam family "Archaeal small subunit ribosomal RNA", at positions 330 to 649 of the family's 1478-position model. Lineage: Archaea; Methanobacteriati; Methanobacteriota; Methanomicrobia; Methanomicrobiales; Methanoregulaceae. The record is from RNAcentral.
GCGCAGCAGGCGCGAAAACUUUACAAUGCGGGAAACCGUGAUAAGGGAACUCUGAGUGCCCGUAAAAUCGGGCUGUCCAUCAGUGUAAAUAACUGGUGAAGAAAGGGCCGGGCAAGACCGGUGCCAGCCGCCGCGGUAAUACCGGCGGCUCGAGUGGUGGCCACUAUUACUGGGCUUAAAGCGUCCGUAGCAGGGUUGUUAAGUCUCUUGGGAAAUCUACCGGCUCAACCGAUAGGCGUUCAGGGGAUACUGGCAACCUAGGGACCGGAAGAGGUGAGAGGUACUCCAGGGGUAGGAGUGAAAUCCUGUAAUCGC